RNAcentral lists this ribosomal RNA (237 nucleotides) under Phaeomonas parva. RNAcentral describes it as "partial Eukaryotic small subunit ribosomal RNA". It matches the Rfam family "Eukaryotic small subunit ribosomal RNA", at positions 575 to 818 of the family's 1831-position model. The record is from RNAcentral. Lineage: Eukaryota; Pinguiophyceae; Pinguiochrysidales; Pinguiochrysidaceae.
CGCGGUAAUUCCAGCUCCAAUAGCGUAUAUUAAAGUUGUUGUGGUUAAAAAGCUCGUAGUUGAACCUUGGGCCUGGCUGGCCGGUCCGCCUCACCGCGUGUACUGGUCCGGCCGGGCCUUUCCUUCUGGGGAGCCGCAUGCCCUUCACUGGGCGUGUCGGGGAACCAGGACUUUUACUUUGAAAAAAUUAGAGUGUUCAAAGCAGGCAUAUGCCCGAAUACAUUAGCAUGGAAUAAU